UUAGGUCUGUCCCCGCCAAGCUGCUUUCAGUGUAAUACUCCUGUUAUUACCUUCCAUUCAGAAUGUACGCUUGCGCCAAGUUUGUGUCAUCCCCAGCCCUGAUAAGGAAUGGAGCCAGCCAGUAUUCUCUGCCGUCCACUAUCUGCCCCACUUCUGAACUACACCGUACUUAGGACAGAGAUGCAGUUGCUACCUGUUCCAGCCCGAGGGAUCCAGAGCAGUGCAGUGUGCAGGGACAUUGACACUGCUGCUAAGUUCAUUGGCGCUGGUGCUGCCACAGUUGGAGUAGCAGGCUCUGGUGCUGGUAUUGGCACUGUAUUUGUAAGCCUGAUUAUUGGCUAUGCCAGGAACCCCUCUCUCAAGCAGCAGCUUUUCUCCUAUGCCAUCCUUGGAUUUGCUCUGUCCAAAGCUAUGGAACUCUUCUGUC
Pelobates cultripes (western spadefoot toad) is the source of this 427-nucleotide non-coding RNA. NCBI's taxonomy places the organism in Eukaryota, Metazoa, Chordata, Amphibia, Anura, Pelobatidae. The record is from the annotation of a GenBank genome assembly.